GGGGUUGUGGCUCUGUGGUAGAGAGCCUACCUGGUAUGUGUGAGGCACUGAGUUCGAUCCUCAGCACCUCA
Molecule: transfer RNA, 71 nt
Filed under: Ictidomys tridecemlineatus (thirteen-lined ground squirrel)
Lineage: Eukaryota; Metazoa; Chordata; Mammalia; Rodentia; Sciuridae
Description: Spermophilus tridecemlineatus (thirteen-lined ground squirrel) tRNA
Rfam family: tRNA
About the family: Transfer RNA (tRNA) molecules are approximately 80 nucleotides in length. Their secondary structure includes four short double-helical elements and three loops (D, anti-codon, and T loops). Further hydrogen bonds mediate the characteristic L-shaped molecular structure. tRNAs have two regions of fundamental functional importance: the anti-codon, which is responsible for specific mRNA codon recognition, and the 3' end, to which the tRNAs corresponding amino acid is attached (by aminoacyl-tRNA synthetases). tRNAs cope with the degeneracy of the genetic code in two manners: having more than one tRNA (with a specific anti-codon) for a particular amino acid; and 'wobble' base-pairing, i.e. permitting non-standard base-pairing at the 3rd anti-codon position.
Source: Rfam by way of RNAcentral